CCGGCGCACGGGUGAGUAACACGUAUGCAAUCCACCUGUAACAGGGGGAUAACCCGGAGAAAUCCGGACUAAUACCCCAUAAUAUGGGCGCUCCGCAUGGAGAGUUCAUUAAAGAGAGCAAUUUUGGUUACAGACGAGCAUGCGCUCCAUUAGCCAGUUGGCGGGGUAACGGCCCACCUAGUCUUCGAUGGAUAGGGGUUCUGAGAGGAAGGUCCCCCACAUUGGAACUGAGACACGGUCCAA
This 243-nucleotide ribosomal RNA is filed under the name uncultured bacterium. RNAcentral's name for it is "partial 16S ribosomal RNA". It matches the Rfam family "Bacterial small subunit ribosomal RNA", at positions 95 to 334 of the family's 1533-position model. The record is from RNAcentral.